UACGUAGGCAGCGAGCGUUGUUCGGAGUUACUGGGCGUAAAGGGUGUGUAGGCGGUUGUUUAAGUUUGGUGUGAAAUCUCCCGGCUCAACUGGGAGGGUGCGCCGAAUACUGAAUGACUUGGAGUGCGGGAGAGGAGAGUGGAAUUCCUGGUGUAGCGGUGAAAUGCGUAGAUAUCAGGAGGAACACCGGUGGUGUAGAGGGCUCUCUGGACCGUAACUGACGCUGAGACACGAAAGCGUGGGUAGCAAACAGG
RNAcentral lists this ribosomal RNA (254 nucleotides) under uncultured bacterium. RNAcentral's name for it is "partial 16S ribosomal RNA". It matches the Rfam family "Bacterial small subunit ribosomal RNA", at positions 524 to 776 of the family's 1533-position model. The record is from RNAcentral.